GCCAACCACACCGUCAGGUUACCCAUUCGGCUGCCUCUCGAGCCCCAGCGGCUCCACCUACUGAUUGGGACAAACGUUUUUGCGCUGUCAAAGUAGCUGUCGCUGCACUCACAGUGGAAGUUUGACGCCUUCAGGCACUUAUCGGGGAUACCAGGUCUGGCCAUUCUGACCCCUUCACUGACCGCCCAGACACAGAACAUACACAUCACAUCCUUAGUACCCACCUCAUUUCCCAAAUCAAAAUGAUUAAGGAAAUCUCGUAGUACCAUGCGCAAGCCCAACACUUUAGAAGCGCUCAGUCACGACCGAUCCCGGUCACUGUCUGCGGCUGGAGACAAAUUCAAAUCCGAGGAGACUCAAAUGGACACUCUCGGCCAUCCUACAGUGGACACAGUGCAGCCCUUACCAUCCCCGGCUAGCAGCCAGCCAUCGCUUGUCUCCCUAGCAGAAGGGAUAAAAGCAAACCCAAGAUCUGCCACUAAGCCCAAACAUGGCUAG
Molecule: long non-coding RNA, 498 nt
Filed under: Androctonus crassicauda
Lineage: Eukaryota; Metazoa; Arthropoda; Arachnida; Scorpiones; Buthidae
Source: RNAcentral